GUUACAGCAGCCGCGGUAAUACGAAGGGGGCUAGCGUUGCUCGGAAUCACUGGGCGUAAAGCGCACGUAGGCGGGUUCUUAAGUCAGGGGUGAAAUCCUGGAGCUCAACUCCAGAACUGCCUUUGAUACUGGGAAUCUCGAGUCCGGGAGAGGUGAGUGGAACUGCGAGUGUAGAGGUGAAAUUCGUAGAUAUUCGCAAGAGCACCAGUGGCGAAGGCGGCUCACUGGCCCGGUACUGACGCUGAGGUGCGAAAGCGUGGGGAGCAAACAGGAUUAGAUACCCCCGUAGUCC
RNAcentral lists this ribosomal RNA (292 nucleotides) under uncultured bacterium. Its description in RNAcentral is "partial 16S ribosomal RNA". It matches the Rfam family "Bacterial small subunit ribosomal RNA", at positions 505 to 796 of the family's 1533-position model. The record is from RNAcentral.